GAGAGAGGUAAUAUACAAUAAGAACUGCUAAUUCCUAUGUCUGAGAUUAACGCCUCAGCUCACUCA
RNAcentral lists this transfer RNA (66 nucleotides) under Geoemyda japonica. Its description in RNAcentral is "tRNA-Ser". Lineage: Eukaryota; Metazoa; Chordata; Testudines; Geoemydidae. The record is from RNAcentral.